Molecule: ribosomal RNA, 303 nt
Filed under: uncultured bacterium
Lineage: Bacteria
Description: partial 16S ribosomal RNA
Rfam family: Bacterial small subunit ribosomal RNA
Source: RNAcentral
AGCAGUCGCCGCGGGAAUACGUAGGUGGCAAGCGUUGUCCGGAAUUAUUGGGCGUAAAGGGCUCGCAGGCGGUUUCUUAAGUCUGAUGUGAAAGCCCCCGGCUCAACCGGGGAGGGUCAUUGGAAACUGGGAAACUUGAGUGCAGAAGAGGAGAGUGGAAUUCCACGUGUAGCGGUGAAAUGCGUAGAGAUGUGGAGGAACACCAGUGGCGAAGGCGACUCUCAGGUCUGUAACUGACGCUGAGGAGCGAAAGCGUGGGGAGCGAACAGGAUUAGAUACCCCCGUAGUCCCUGUCUCUUAUAC